UACGGGGGGGGCAAGCGUUGUUCGGAAUUACUGGGCGUAAAGGGCUCGUAGGCGGCCAACUAAGUCAGACGUGAAAUCCCCAGGCUCAACCUGGGAACUGCAUCCGAUACUGGAUGGCUUGAAUUCGGGAGAGGGAUGCAGAAUUCCAGGUGUAGCGGUGAAAUGCGUAGAUAUCUGGAGGAAUACCGGUGGCGAAGGCGGCAUCCUGGACCGACAUUGACGCUGAGGAGCGAAAGCAUGGGGAGCGAACAGG
This 253-nucleotide ribosomal RNA is filed under the name uncultured bacterium. RNAcentral describes it as "partial 16S ribosomal RNA". It matches the Rfam family "Bacterial small subunit ribosomal RNA", at positions 524 to 776 of the family's 1533-position model. The record is from RNAcentral.